GGCCAGUUAGCUCAGUGGUUAGAGCGUCGUGCUAAUAACGCGAAGGUCGCGUGUUCCAUACCCGUACUGGCCA
This is a non-coding RNA of Oncorhynchus kisutch (coho salmon), 73 nucleotides long. The record is from the annotation of a RefSeq genome assembly. NCBI's taxonomy places the organism in Eukaryota, Metazoa, Chordata, Actinopteri, Salmoniformes, Salmonidae.